This is a non-coding RNA of Paragonimus westermani, 67 nucleotides long. NCBI's taxonomy places the organism in Eukaryota, Metazoa, Platyhelminthes, Trematoda, Plagiorchiida, Troglotrematidae. The record is from the annotation of a GenBank genome assembly.
ACGACCUUAGUUUAGCGUGUAAGGAUCAUAGUUUGUCGUACUAUGGGUGGGUUUGUCCCAGGUCGUG